CUAUACAUGCAAGUCGAGCGGAAUGAUGAAGAAGCUUGCUUCUUCUGAUUUUAGCGGCGGACGGGUGAGUAACACGUGGGCAACCUACCUUGUAGAUUGGGAUAACUCCGGGAAACCGGGGCUAAUACCGAAUAAUCCAUUUUGCUUCAUGGCGAAAUGUUGAAAGGCGGCUUCGGCUGUCACUACGAGAUGGGCCCGCGGCGUAUUAGCUAGUUGGUAGGGUAAUGGCCUACCAAGGCGACGAUACGUAGCCGACCUGAGAGGGUGAUCGGCCACACUGGGACUGAGACACGGCCCAGACUCCUACGGGAGGCAGCAGUAGGGAAUCUUCCACAAUGGACGAAAGUCUGAUGGAGCAACGCCGCGUGAGUGAAGAAGGUUUUCGGAUCGUAAAACUCUGUUGUAAGGGAAGAACACGUACGAGAGUAACUGCUCGUACCUUGACGGUACCUUAUUAGAAAGCCACGGCUAACUACGUGCCAGCAGCCGCGGUAAUACGUAGGUGGCAAGCGUUGUCCGGAAUUAUUGGGCGUAAAGCGCGCGCAGGCGGUUCUUUAAGUCUGAUGUGAAAGCCCACGGCUCAACCGUGGAGGGUCAUUGGAAACUGGAGAACUUGAGUACAGAAGAGGAAAGCGGAAUUCCACGUGUAGCGGUGAAAUGCGUAGAGAUGUGGAGGAACNNCNNGUGGCGAAGGCGGCUUUCUGGUCUGUAACUGACGCUGAGGCGC
Molecule: ribosomal RNA, 727 nt
Filed under: Sporosarcina sp. LKS-121
Lineage: Bacteria; Bacillati; Bacillota; Bacilli; Caryophanales; Caryophanaceae
Description: bacterial SSU rRNA
Rfam family: Bacterial small subunit ribosomal RNA
Source: RNAcentral